AUUGAACGCUGGCGGCAUGCCUUACCCAUGCAAGUCGAACGGCAGCACGGGGGAACCUGGUGGCGAGUGGCGAACGGGUGAGUAAUGCAUGGGAACGUACCUUUCAGUGGGGGAUAACGUAGCGAAAGUUACGCUAAUACCGCCUCUUCUGCGAGCAGCAAAGCAGGGGAUCGCAAGACCUCGCGCAGCUUGAGUGGCGGAUGUCAGAUUAGCUAGUUGGUGAGGUAAAGGCUCACAAAGGCGACGAUCUGUAGCUGGUCUGAGAGGAUGAUCCGCCACACUGGAACUGAGACACGGUCCAGACUCCUACGGGAGGCAGCAGUGGGGAAUUUUGGACAAUGGGGGCAACCCUGAUCCAGCCAUGCCGCGUGAGUGAAGAAGGCCUUCGGGUUGUAAAGCUCUUUCGGCCGGGAAGAAAUCGCACGGGCUAAUACCCUGUGUGGAUGACGGUACCGGAAUAAGAAGCACCGGCUAACUACGUGCCAGCCGCCGCGGUAA
This 498-nucleotide ribosomal RNA is filed under the name uncultured bacterium. RNAcentral's name for it is "partial 16S ribosomal RNA". It matches the Rfam family "Bacterial small subunit ribosomal RNA", at positions 30 to 523 of the family's 1533-position model. The record is from RNAcentral.